UACGUAGGGUGCGAGCGUUGUCCGGAAUUAUUGGGCGUAAAGAGCUUGUAGGCGGUUUGUCGCGUCUGCUGUGAAAAUCCGGGGCUCAACCCCGGGCCUGCAGUGGGUACGGGCAGACUAGAGUGUGGUAGGGGAGACUGGAAUUCCUGGUGUAGCGGUGAAAUGCGCAGAUAUCAGGAGGAACACCGGUGGCGAAGGCGGUUCUCUGGGCAUUACCUGACGCUGAGGAGCGAAAGUGUGGGGAGCGAACAGG
Molecule: ribosomal RNA, 253 nt
Filed under: uncultured bacterium
Lineage: Bacteria
Description: partial 16S ribosomal RNA
Rfam family: Bacterial small subunit ribosomal RNA
Source: RNAcentral